GUUGUGAUUUGCUUUCAAAUUAGUAUCUUUACAUCGUUAGAAACAAC
Non-coding RNA from Bacteroides faecichinchillae, 47 nucleotides. The record is from Rfam. NCBI's taxonomy places the organism in Bacteria, Pseudomonadati, Bacteroidota, Bacteroidia, Bacteroidales, Bacteroidaceae.